RNAcentral lists this unclassified non-coding RNA (352 nucleotides) under uncultured Rhodosporidiobolus. RNAcentral describes it as "partial contains 5.8S ribosomal RNA, internal transcribed spacer 2, and large subunit ribosomal RNA". The stretch from base 1 to 102 matches the Rfam family "5.8S ribosomal RNA", at positions 53 to 154 of the family's 154-position model. The record is from RNAcentral. Lineage: Eukaryota; Fungi; Basidiomycota; Microbotryomycetes; Sporidiobolales; Sporidiobolaceae.
AUGUGAUAAGUAAUGUGAAUUGCAGAAUUCAGUGAAUCAUCGAAUCUUUGAACGCAUCUUGCACUCCUUGGUAUUCCGAGGAGUAUGUCUGUUUGAGUGUCAUGAAUUCUUCAACCCUCUCUUUUCUUAGUGAUUAGAGAGGAGUUUGGAUUCUGAGUGUUGCUCCUAACCCGAGCUCAUUCGUAAUGUAUUAGCAUCCAUAUUCGAAUUUCGGAUUGACUUGGCGUAAUAGACUAUUCGCUGAGGAAUCUAACUUCGGUUAGAGCCGUGUUUGAACUAGGAAGCUACUAAUCUAGCUUAGUCUACUUUUAGAUUAGACCUCAAAUCAGAUAGGAUUACCCGCUGAACUUAA